Molecule: long non-coding RNA, 837 nt
Organism: Alosa sapidissima (American shad)
Lineage: Eukaryota; Metazoa; Chordata; Actinopteri; Clupeiformes; Clupeidae
Exons: 3
Source: RefSeq, a predicted model, not a curated record
AUAAGCUGUGCAAACAGGAGAACGUGAGUCUUUUCAGAAGGUUACGUCUAUUGGUCUCUAACACUAAACUUGUUUCCAUCGAGUAGCACUUAACACGGUUCAUUGUUUGUUUGUAGCUCGGCCUGGUGUCUGUGCGUAUGGUGACCAGUAAAUGGUACACGCAGUUUCAAGUCUACUUUGCUCGCAUAAUAGCGAAUAGUGAAUCCACACUGGUUUGCAGCAACAAGCAACGCUGAUGCUGGCGAGAGCUAUUAGUCAUCCACACUGGUAUAACUUUAUUGGUUCGUCUAAUUCAUCUUGGCUGGUCUUAAAAACGAGGAUUGCCUUCGUCUGUCCAACAAGCCACUGUUUUUCCUGGAAUUAACUAUUUCGUUUUAUUUCAAUUAGGCUAAUGUAUGUGUGUGCCUCGGAAACCUACCACAUCUGUUGAAUGUUUACUGGGAACUUAGGUGGGCCUAGGGGGAAGCCUGCUGGUGGUAACCUGUUAUCUUAAAUGUUUUGUUUGUCUGCCAGUCAUUGUAAUACGUGUUCGGCCUGGGAAUGGUGCAAUAUUUCUUAUGGGGACAGUGCUUCGUUUGCAGUGCUCACUAGUGUGAAGUGUGAAACGCCGUGUCUGUGUGUACGGCCCAUUUGGUGUGAAGUGCCUCUUGCAGAUUGGAGUGUCUUUAGAUUUGUGUAUGUGAAGUAUUUAUUAAUGUAUUUGACUUUAUACACUGUAACUCAUCUGGAAGACCUAUUCAUUCGUUGUUAUUUAUUGUAGAAUUUCAUCCACUGUUGCCUAUGUGGAACAUUUGCUUGUCCUGAUUGCCGAUCAGUGUAUUUAUAGUGUCUGUCUAG